ACAGCUUUAAGCUUCACAUUUAAUCACUUCCCACAAGGAGAAGCAGGCUGGGUGUGCUCCAGGCUCCGGAAGCUCCAGCAGCCCCAGAGAUGAGGGUGGUCUGCCCCCCACACUCCCUGCCCCAGCCCAUCCUGGACCUUCUCCUGACACACAGCAAACCACACUUAGCUGUCAUUGAUGAAUCGGAGCCUCUGCCAGACAGCCGGCCAAGCCGACGCUAACUCACCCCACAGCCUGAAAUAGAAACUCGCUCGUUUUCCAGUGUGUGACAAAGAAGGAAGGACAUCAACUGGGAGUGGCCCAGAAGCCCGAAGCUGAGAGGACAAAGCUCACUGGGCACAGGAAAAGAGAGUGGAGGGGCUGCUGCCCCAGGAAGGCUGGGCCCACCCCUCCUCACAGGCACCCUGAUGCCUGUUCAGCUUGGCUCUCUGGAUGACAGGCAGAAGCCCCAGUUGCUUCUCUUCUCCACGGUGAUUUCUGCAUACUUUAUCCAAACCCCCUCCCCACCGCUGUUCAGUUUCUGGCUCCUCUUCCUGCCCGUGCUCUGAGGCCAGCUGGGGGCCUCCCAGGUGACUCCUGCUGCUGCUGUCACUGGACCCUGACGCUGUGCCGCACCCGAAUUCCUCCGAAUGGAGCCUUGGCCAGAGCAAGGCGUGCCGUGUAGAGGAGCGGAUCUGAGCCUGGCAGGAGAUCGCUAAAACCUUUGCCCUUCACACAAACGCGGAAGCACGGGGCGGGUGCUGAAGAGCCAAGCAAGUGUCCCCCAUUUCCUUCCAAGGCAGAGCAGCAGCCCAGGGAGGCCCAGUUUCCAUCGCGGCAGAAGGGCAGAAGAGUGGGGGAGGUCCCAGGACCACAGCCCAGGGGACACUCAGGAUGCGCCAGGAAGGACAUGGCAGACAGGCCCUUUAGGUGGAAAAGCAACCCUCAGCUGCCCAGAGAGCGGCCCCUCCAGGCCCUCCCCGCCGUCUGCAAAGCUCUUCAGCUGGGAGAGGAGGAAAGGGUUUGUUCUUGACCUCCUUCCUUUCCUUUCUUCUCCACUGUCCACCAGAGAGCAGGAAGACAGGCUGAUGCUCUUGUUAAAGAUGAAGGCAUAAUUCACAUGCCAUAAAAUUCACCAUUUUAACCAU
RNAcentral lists this long non-coding RNA (1127 nucleotides) under Homo sapiens (human). Its description in RNAcentral is "HSALNT0404166". Lineage: Eukaryota; Metazoa; Chordata; Mammalia; Primates; Hominidae. The record is from RNAcentral.